Molecule: RNA transcript, 3067 nt
Organism: Nomascus leucogenys (northern white-cheeked gibbon)
Lineage: Eukaryota; Metazoa; Chordata; Mammalia; Primates; Hylobatidae
Gene: ABCD4
Gene name: ATP binding cassette subfamily D member 4
Exons: 17
Source: RefSeq, a predicted model, not a curated record
ACGUCGGUCGCUUCCGGGGGAGGCCGCAUCUCCCGCACCUUCCUCUCUAUCCGCCGCCGUCUCUGUGGUAGCCGAGGCCCCGCCCCUCCUCGGACUCUGACCAGUACUGAACUCGGGGCUGCAAGGCUCCAGAGUCCCUCGGGUCCCAGGUCAUGGCGGUCCCGGGGCCCGCGCCCGGAGCUGGCGCCAGGCCCAGGUUAGAUCUGCAGUUUCUCCAGCGGUUCCUGCAGAUACUGAAGGUUUUGUUUCCUUCUUGGUCAUCACAGAAUACCUUAAUGUUCCUGACCCUUUUGUGCCUGACCCUACUGGAGCAAUUGGUGAUCUACCAGGUUGGCUUGAUCCCCAGUCAGUACUAUGGGGUCCUGGGAAACAAAGACUUGGAAGGGUUUAAGACUCUGACAAUCCUGGCUGUCAUGCUCAUUGUUCUGAACUCCACGCUGAAGAGCUUUGAUCAGUUCACCUGCAACCUGCUGUAUGUGAGCUGGAGGAAGGACCUCACUGAGCACCUCCACUGCCUCUACUUCCGGGGCCGUGUGUACUACACCCUCAACGUGCUGCGGGAUGACAUCGAUAACCCGGACCAGCGCAUCAGCCAGGAUGUGGAGCGAUUCUGCCGGCAGCUCAGCAGCAUGGCCAGCAAGCUGAUCAUCUCCCCAUUCACCCUCAUCUACUACACUUACCAGUGCUUCCAAAGCACAGGCUGGCUCGGGCCUGUGAGCAUCUUUGGGUAUUUCAUCCUGGGGACCGUGGUGAACAAAACUUUGAUGGGCCCCAUUGUGACGAAGCUGGUGCAUCAGGAGAAGCUGGAGGGAGAUUUUAGGUUCAAGCACAUGCAGAUUCGGGUGAAUGCGGAGCCUGCUGCUUUCUACAGAGCUGGGCAUGUGGAGCACAUGAGGACAGACCGCAGGCUGCAGAGACUCCUUCAGACCCAGAGGGAGCUGAUGUCCAAGGAGCUCUGGCUGUACAUUGGCAUCAACACCUUUGACUAUCUGGGCAGCAUCCUGAGUUACGUUGUCAUCGCAAUCCCCAUUUUCAGCGGGGUCUAUGGAGACCUGAGUCCCGCAGAGCUUAGCACCCUGGUCAGCAAGGUGAGACUCCCUCUUGGUGACACCUCAUGCUGUCCCUCUCUGUCCUUGGCCCAGUGUCUGUGGGCUGGAGUCAGGACCCGCUUGACCUCUGCCCAUCCUGUACAGAAUGCCUUUGUGUGCAUCUACCUCAUCAGCUGCUUCACCCAGCUCAUCGACCUGUCCACAACGCUCUCGGAUGUGGCUGGCUACACGCACAGAAUUGGGCAGCUUCGGGAGACGCUGCUGGACAUGUCCCUGAAGUCGCAGGACUGCGAGAUGCUGGGCGAGAGCGAGUGGGGCUUGGACACAGCCCCAGGGUGGCCAGUGGCAGAACCAGCAGACACAGCAUUUCUCCUUGAGCGGGUCUCCAUCUCUGCCCCUUCCUCUGACAAACCCCUAAUCAAGGAUCUGAGCCUAAAGAUCUCCGAGGGACAGAGCCUGCUCAUCACAGGCAACACGGGCACUGGCAAGACCUCCUUGCUUCGGGUUCUGGGCGGCCUCUGGACGAGUACACGGGGUGAUAUAUCCCCUGAAGGAGGUCUACCCCGACUCAGGUUCUGCUGAUGAUGAGAGGAUCUUGAGGUUCUUGGAAUUGGCAGGCCUGUCCAACUUGGUGGCAAGGACAGAGGGUCUGGACCAGCAGGUGGACUGGAACUGGUAUGAUGUUCUGUCCCCGGGAGAGAUGCAACGGCUCUCCUUUGCCCGACUCUUCUACCUGCAGCCGAAGUACGCAGUGCUUGAUGAAGCCACCAGUGCCCUGACAGAGGAGGUGGAGAGCGAGCUCUAUCGCAUCGGCCAGCAGCUGGGGAUGACGUUCAUCAGUGUGGGACAUCGGCAGAGCCUUGAGAAGUUUCAUUCCUUGGUUCUGAAACUCUGUGGAGGAGGAAGAUGGGAGCUGAUGAGAAUCAAAGUGGAAUGAAGCUCCGGCUUUUGGAAGGAGAGCCACACUCUGGCAGGUCGGCAGCCCUCAGGAGAGAUCAGGAGGACUGACGGCGAAGAUCGAGCUCAGGUUCGCCACAUGGGUCCUGUGCGGGAGCCACAUAGGUCCUGUGCGGGAGCCACAUAGGUCCUGUGCAGGAGCCCUGGCAGUGGUGGACUGAGCCCAGGUCUAGGUUUCUGUGGGGGACACUGAGUCUCCCAGUGUUCAGUCUCCCAGGACUCUGCUGCCUCAGCCAGAGCCUCCAUAUGCUUGAAGUGCUGAUUACCUACAAAUGAUUUCAGAUCAUGUUUGCUAAAGAGAAAUCUGGAAGUGUGAGAUCUGUAAGAAAUGAAAGGUCAGGGUGGAAAGAGAUCUCUUGGAGUCAAGAGAUCUGGAAAUCUUUUAAUCAGUUAAAUUGUACAGCAAUAGAUUUUUAACUUUAACUGACCAUUUAAGUUUUUUUUGUAAGUUUUUUACAAAGAAAAGUUAAACAUUAAAAAGAAUUACAGCUGUCUUCUCUGUCAUGGAAUGAUCUUUUUUAUUGAAUCUCCAGAUUUGUAUUUGAGAGCUUGGUGGGAAGGGAAGCACGCUUUGCUGUUCUGGAAUCUUCUGCCUAGGGUUUUUCACUUCUCCCCACAUCUCCCUUUCCACUCGUCAGUGUUGUGUAGUUGGAACCUGAACCACUAACCUCUAGGGGACUUUGGUCUGUCCUAUCUUAAUCCAAAUGAAAGUAAAUCCCUUUCCCCUUAGCCAAAAUAAGGUUGGUUUUAAAAAAAAAAAAAAAAAAGUCUGUAUUAGGGAACAACAACAACAAAUUAAACAGACAAAACCCAGAAAGCACAAAGCAUGAGGUGGCGUUACUGUGCCCAAAGUCCUCACUCAGACCAGUGCCCCUCCAGUUCAGUUGUCUAUGUAUUACCUUCCUCACCUUCAUAAUUUUUGCCAGGCUUCUGUACUUCUAGUACUUGAGUUACUUGAUAUUUUUAAAAACAAACUCACCUUUUAAGUUCAAAUGGAUUUUUAAAUGCAAUUUUACACUUAACAUAAAUGGAAAGUAACUAAGAAUAAAUACAAGAAAAAC